UACGUAGGCAGCAAGCGUUGUUCGGAUUUACUGGGCGUAAAGGGUGCGUAGGCGGCUUGGCAAGUCGGAUGUGAAAUCCCUCGGCUCAACCAAGGAAGUGCAUCCGAAACUGCUGAGCUUGAGUACUUAAGAGGAUCGCGGAAUUCCCGGUGUAGAGGUGAAAUUCGUAGAUAUCGGGAGGAACACCAGUGGCGAAGGCGGCGAUCUGGGAAGAUACUGACGCUGAGGUGCGAAAGCGUGGGGAGCAAACAGG
RNAcentral lists this ribosomal RNA (253 nucleotides) under uncultured bacterium. RNAcentral describes it as "partial 16S ribosomal RNA". It matches the Rfam family "Bacterial small subunit ribosomal RNA", at positions 524 to 776 of the family's 1533-position model. The record is from RNAcentral.